RNAcentral lists this transfer RNA (85 nucleotides) under Felis catus (domestic cat). It matches the Rfam family "tRNA". Rfam says of the family: Transfer RNA (tRNA) molecules are approximately 80 nucleotides in length. Their secondary structure includes four short double-helical elements and three loops (D, anti-codon, and T loops). The record is from Rfam by way of RNAcentral. RNAcentral also lists the same sequence under 3 other names. Lineage: Eukaryota; Metazoa; Chordata; Mammalia; Carnivora; Felidae.
GCCUGGGUUGCUCAGUGGGUUGAGCAUUGGACUUCGGCUCAAGUCAUGAUCUUGAGGUUCGUGGGUUUGAGCCCCACGUCAGGCU